GGCGAACGCUGGCGGCGUGCUUAACACAUGCAAGUCGAACGGAAAGGCCCUGCUUUUGUGGAGUGCUCGAGUGGCGAACGGGUGAGUAACACGUGAGUAACCUGCCCUUGACUUUGGGAUAACUUCAGGAAACUGGGGCUAAUACCGGAUAGGAGCUCCUGCUGCAUGGUGGGGGUUGGAAAGUUUCGGCGGUUGGGGAUGGACUCGCGGCUUAUCAGCUUGUUGGUGGGGUAGUGGCUUACCAAGGCUUUGACGGGUAGCCGGCCUGAGAGGGUGACCGGCCACAUUGGGACUGAGAUACGGCCCAGACUCCUACGGGAGGCAGCAGUGGGGAAUAUUGCACAAUGGGCGGAAGCCUGAUGCAGCAACGCCGCGUGCGGGAUGACGGCCUUCGGGUUGUAAACCGCUUUCGCCUGUGACGAAGCGUGAGUGACGGUAAUGGGUAAAGAAGCACCGGCUAACUACGUG
RNAcentral lists this ribosomal RNA (468 nucleotides) under uncultured bacterium. RNAcentral's name for it is "partial 16S ribosomal RNA". It matches the Rfam family "Bacterial small subunit ribosomal RNA", at positions 28 to 507 of the family's 1533-position model. The record is from RNAcentral.